CUCACCUGACUCAGAGGAGCUGGGCUGCCACAGGAUGCAGCCUGUUCCUCUGUGGGCACAGGGAAUGUCACUUGGAGGAUUUCCCCCUCUCCUUUCCUGCAAGACCCCAGAGGAGGAAGGACAGCAGCGAAGGAUGGCACCAGCACAGGAGUUAAAACACACAGAUUAUGUGCACUGGGAUCCAGACCCUUUGGGAGGGAGGUACCAGCCUUCAGCACCGAGGCAGGAGGAGACUGAGGCUACCCAAAAUCUGGUUUUAGUUCUGACAUCCAAGGCUACCCUGCACAUCUCUGUGCAUGGAAAGGAUCCACCUCUCUCCAUGGCAAACAGGAUGAGCCCCAGCUCCAGUGACUGGCACCUUGAUACAGCCCAGGAAACAUUCUCCCAGCUGUGAUUUACACAAAGGGACAGGGCACGUGGAGAGAUACACGGGAUGUGAGCUGGGACAGGACAGGGGCUUGUGUGGCCAUUCCAC
Molecule: long non-coding RNA, 475 nt
Organism: Poecile atricapillus (Black-capped chickadee)
Lineage: Eukaryota; Metazoa; Chordata; Aves; Passeriformes; Paridae
Exons: 3
Source: RefSeq, a predicted model, not a curated record